Papaver somniferum (opium poppy) is the source of this 1109-nucleotide long non-coding RNA. RefSeq lists it as uncharacterized. The transcript has 4 exons. The record is from RefSeq and is a predicted model, not a curated record. NCBI's taxonomy places the organism in Eukaryota, Viridiplantae, Streptophyta, Magnoliopsida, Ranunculales, Papaveraceae.
GAUUUUCUCCAUUGUUGCUGAUAAUUAGAGUUUUUUUAUUCAUAAUAAGUGAUAAAACACCAAGGUGAACAUAAGUAUAAUACAAAAUAUCCGGCCAUAAGUUGUGAUCUGUUUAAAACUCCGUAUUAGACAAAAUUGAUAUAAAAACCCCAUAUUUUUUAUAAAGUUUAAAUUAGAUCAUUCAAAAUUUCUAUUAAUUCCAUAACCACCCUCCCAUGGUUUUUUAUUCUUCUUUGUCGUCUCCCCCUCUUUUUGUUUCAUUUCUUUUUUCCACCGCCUCCUCUUCUCCGACCAUUAACAGCAUCUCUUCUUCUUCCUUCCUCACCACCACCAAAUCAACGACAUUCUCCGUCCCUUUCUUUUUUUCCCACCACCAACAGUAGCACCUCAUCCUUCUACUUUUUACCAACGUAAAUAAAAUACAGAUCGAGAAUGCGAAUCAGGGAAAAGAAAAAGGUAGAUUGGUAAUUGGGUUGUACGGCCAGACUUUCCCCAAAUUAGUUGUCGCGUUGGCAUCGGUAGUGGUGGCGGCGUUGAGGAUGUCGGUUGGCGGAGGCGAUGGGGAUGCUGGUGUUGGUGGUGGUGGUUGCGGUGCUAACAAAGGAUGUAAAACCUCAUUGAGAAAAUAUGGUGAGAAAAGAUGGAGAAAUUUAAGAGGAAAAUAAAAUGCAACAAGGAAUGCAUGGCAGGUGAAAUUUUUAUCUAACCCCUCAUUAUAUUUAUCGUUUGUCAUCCAAACAUAGAAAGUAACACGGUGCAGGACACUUUACAUAUAUAACAACAGUAAAAUCUUCUCCAUUUUUAUAUCUUUUUUUGUGAUUAUUUUAAAAUGAUGAUAAGUUGCAGAAUAUGUAUGUUGAAUUAUCUGGCGGAAACCAAUUAUGGUUUCAUCUAAUUUUUGCUAAUUUUUUUCGGCGAAACCAAUUCGUUGGUGAUGCAAUAAUAUUUUUUUUUGUUGAAACCAGUUUUGGUUUCAUCUAAUAUGUACUUUUAUGUCGACGAAACCAAUCUUGUUGGUGAUAUUGUAAUUUAUGUUGAAACGAGUUUUGGUUGCUUUUAAUUUUGAAUUUCAUUGCUUCUACUUGGUGGCGGUGGGCGGCAAUGGGGGU